AGAACGAACGCUGGCGGCAUGCCUAACACAUGCAAGUCGAACGAGACCUUCGGGUCUAGUGGCGCACGGGUGCGUAACGCGUGGGAAUCUGCCCUUAGGUUCGGAAUAACAGUUAGAAAUGACUGCUAAUACCGGAUAAUGUCUUCGGACCAAAGAUUUAUUGCCUAAGGAUGAGCCCGCGUAAGAUUAGCUUGUUGGUGAGGUAAAGGCUCACUAAGGCGACGAUCUUUAGCUGGUCUGAGAGGAUGAUCAGCCACACUGGGACUGAGACACGGCCCAGACUCCUACGGGAGGCAGCAGUGGGGAAUAUUGGACAAUGGGCGAAAGCCUGAUCCAGCAAUGCCGCGUGAGUGAUGAAGGCCUUAGGUGUAAAGCUCUUUACCCGGGAUGAUAAUGACAGUACCGGAGAAUAAGCCCGCUAACUCCGUGCCAGCAGCCGAC
RNAcentral lists this ribosomal RNA (441 nucleotides) under uncultured soil bacterium. Its description in RNAcentral is "bacterial SSU rRNA". It matches the Rfam family "Bacterial small subunit ribosomal RNA", at positions 26 to 518 of the family's 1533-position model. The record is from RNAcentral.